GACGAACGCUGGCGGCGUGCUUAACACAUGCAAGUCGAACGGAAAGGCCUUGCUUUUGUGGGGUGCUCGUGUGGCGAACGGGUGAGUAACACGUGAGUAACCUGCCCUUGACUUUGGGAUAACUUCAGGAAACUGGGGCUAAUACCGGAUAGGAGCUCCUGCUGCAUGGUGGGGGUUGGAAAGUUUCGGCGGUUGGGGAUGGACUCGCGGCUUAUCAGCUUGUUGGUGGGGUAGUGGUUUACCAAGGCUUUGACGGGUAGCCGGACUGAGAGGGUGACCGGCCACAUUGGGACUGAGAUACGGCCCAGACUCCUACGGGAGGCAGCAGUGGGGAAUAUUGCACAAUGGGCGGAAGCCUGAUGCAGCAACGCCGCGUGCGGGAUGACGGCCUUCGGGUUGGAAACCGCGUUCGCCUGUGACGAAGCGUGAGUGACGGUAAUGGGUAAAGAAGCACCGGCUAACUACGUG
Molecule: ribosomal RNA, 468 nt
Filed under: uncultured bacterium
Lineage: Bacteria
Description: partial 16S ribosomal RNA
Rfam family: Bacterial small subunit ribosomal RNA
Source: RNAcentral